This 462-nucleotide ribosomal RNA is filed under the name uncultured bacterium. RNAcentral's name for it is "partial 16S ribosomal RNA". It matches the Rfam family "Bacterial small subunit ribosomal RNA", at positions 28 to 507 of the family's 1533-position model. The record is from RNAcentral.
GACGAACGCUGGCGGCGUGCUUAACACAUGCAAGUCGAGCGACGCUCUUCCUUCGGGGAGAUGACGGAGCGGCGAACGGGUGAGUAACACGUGGGCAACCUGCCCCUAGCUCUGGGACAACACCGGGAAACCGGUGCUAAUACCGGAUACGACAUCGAGCGGCAUCUCUCGAUGUGGAAAGUUUUUUCGGCUAGGGAUGGGCCCGCGGCCUAUCAGCUUGUUGGUGGGGUAAUGGCCCACCAAGGCGACGACGGGUAGCCGGCCUGAGAGGGCGACCGGCCACACUGGGACUAAGACACGGCCCAGACUCCUACGGGAGGCAGCAGUGGGGAAUAUUGCGCAAUGGGCGAAAGCCUGACGCAGCGACGCCGCGUGAGGGAUGACGGCCUUCGGGUUGUAAACCUCUUUCAGCAGGGACGAAUUCAGACGGUACCUGCAGAAGAAGCACCGGCCAACUACGUG